Molecule: ribosomal RNA, 253 nt
Filed under: uncultured bacterium
Lineage: Bacteria
Description: partial 16S ribosomal RNA
Rfam family: Bacterial small subunit ribosomal RNA
Source: RNAcentral
UACGGAGGGUGCAAGCGUUAUCCGGAUUCACUGGGUUUAAAGGGUGCGUAGGUGGGUUGGUAAGUCAGUGGUGAAAUCUCCAGGCUUAACUUGGAAACUGCCAUUGAUACUAUCAAUCUUGAAUACCGUGGAGGUCAGCGGAAUAUGUCAUGUAGCGGUGAAAUGCCUAGAUAUGACAUAGAACACCAAUUGCGAAGGCAGCUGGCUACACGAAUAUUGACACUGAUGCACGAAAGCGUGGGGAUCAAACAGG